Molecule: non-coding RNA, 29 nt
Filed under: Macaca fascicularis (crab-eating macaque)
Lineage: Eukaryota; Metazoa; Chordata; Mammalia; Primates; Cercopithecidae
Also listed under: 1 other name
Source: RNAcentral
UGAGUAGGUGCAACAAAGACCACAGGGUC